Molecule: long non-coding RNA, 772 nt
Filed under: Physcomitrium patens
Lineage: Eukaryota; Viridiplantae; Streptophyta; Bryopsida; Funariales; Funariaceae
Description: long non-coding RNA (PPAT_LNC009049)
Source: RNAcentral
AGAAUGAAAAUUAUAAAAUAAAAUCCUAAUUCUAAUAAAAUACUAAUAAUGUUAAACAAGCUUUAACUAAAUUCAGAAAAACCUCAAACAAAGUCCAGAGAAACAAUAAGAAAUCUUAAAAAAAUAUUAGAAUGAUUACAAACAUAUCUCAAAUACAUCUCAAUUUAAUCUUACUUUAAUUCUAAUUGAAAUCUUAUUGGACUUCAUUCAAAAUUUAGGCCAAAAACUAACUAAAUCUUAAAUCCUAAACAAACUCAAAUAAAAUCCUAAAUCCUAAAUUAAAUCCUAAUCAAAUCCUAACCAAACCUUAAAUCCUAAAUCAAAUCCUAAAUCCUAAAUCAAAUCCUAAUCAAAUCCUAACCAAAUCUUAAAUCCUAAACCAAAUCCUAAAUCCUAAAUCCUAAAUCAAAUCCUAAUCAAAUCCUAACCAAAUCUUAAAUCCUAAACCAAAUCCUAAAUCCUAAAUACUAAAUCAAAUCCUAACCAAACCUUAAAUCCUAAACCAAAUCAUAAUCCUAAAUCAAAUCCUAACCAAAUUCUAAACCCUAAACCAAACCAUAAUCCUAAAUCAAAUCUUAAUCAAAUCUUAAUCAAAUUCUAACCAAAUUCUAACCCUAAAUCAAACCCUAAUCAAAUUCUAAAUCUUAAAUCAAAUCCUAAUCCUAAAUUAAAUCCUAAGCAAAUCCUAAUCAAACUCUAACUAAAUCCUAAUCAAAUCCUAAUCAAAUCUUACUUCUAAAUCAAAUCCUAACCAACCUUAAACCAAACCCUA